GCGCCCUUAGCUCAGCUGGAUAGAGCAACGGACUUCUAAUCCGUAGGUCGCUGGUUCGAAUCCAGCAGGGCGCGCCA
RNAcentral lists this transfer RNA (77 nucleotides) under Alphaproteobacteria bacterium. RNAcentral describes it as "tRNA-Arg". It matches the Rfam family "tRNA". From Rfam's summary of the family: Transfer RNA (tRNA) molecules are approximately 80 nucleotides in length. Their secondary structure includes four short double-helical elements and three loops (D, anti-codon, and T loops). The record is from RNAcentral. Lineage: Bacteria; Pseudomonadati; Pseudomonadota; Alphaproteobacteria. RNAcentral also lists the same sequence under 1 other name.